CUUUGAUUGGUAUGUAAAAUGAAUAAAAAAAUUCUUAAUAAAUAAAACCUGCCUUGCUAUAAAACAUUGACAACUCAACUGUGCAUGGUGGCACACAUCUUUAAUCCCUUUAAUUUGGGAGGCAGGCAAAUCCCUGAGAGUUUGAGGCCAGCCUGGUCUAUGUAGUGAGUUCCAAAACAGCCAUGACUAUAUAGAGAGGCUGUCUUAAAAAUCCAAACAACAACAGCAAUAAUAAUAAUAAUAAUAAUAAUAAUAAUAAUAAUAAUGAUAAUAAAUUGACAACUUACUUGGGCCCACAAGGUAAUGAAAAACAGGAUGAAAGCCUAACAUCUCUGCCUUCAUUUUGCACCUGUCUCCUUACCUUGAGUCACCUCCCUACCUCUCCAUGUAGGCAUGAUAAUCUCUCAGUGAGUGCCUAUCUAAAAACUGGUGCCACAUAACCUCACUCACUCAACUUCAAAACUGAAAUUCACAAACCUAAGAGUAACCGAGGCUUCCCUCAACAACAUUGUACAAUCUUCUCCAGACCCUAAAAGGUAUAUGGAGGGCUCCAGGUAUUGUCCUGAACACAGUUUCCCAGAACAAACCACCCUGCCGUUGAGGGCAGCUAUUCACAUUGCCAUGGGUGCAACCUGGGACAGAAGGACUGGCCUCCUGAGAACCAGCCUGCCCCCUUUUGAGACCACAUCUGCUUAGUGAUGAUUGAGCAACACUGCCUAAUUAUGUAUUCUACUCCUUGCCCCCAGCCCCAGUUCUUCCACUAUUGAAACCCCAAGCUCAUGCCUAUGCUCCAAAAAUGAACUUGGAGUCAUUGGAAGAAGUCAUUCCUCUUCUCGGCACAUUAAAGUCUUCCCCAUCCUUUUCAACUCUUUAGUUGGUGAUGGGGGGAGGGUAAUCAAGCGUAGCCCACUGUGGAUGCCAAAGUAAUGACUUUGUCCUAAAACUCCAGUUCUAUUCUAUAUUUCUUGGUGCAAGCCCAAAACUACUUAUGAAUUUGCUGAGACAAAUAAAAAACAACAAACAAGUUGAAACACAUUUUAGCUACACCUACCAGUGUAUAGGGAAGUGAGAAUAAAGAGAAGCAUACAACAUCGUGGGAAUGUAAUCUGUGGGACACUAGAGCACAUUCUACAAGACAAAAAAAAUACAGUUUUUGUUUUCAAUAAACAUGUGACAAGAAAGAAAUGUGGAGAUGGAGCAGAAGGGAUCUACAGUUUGGGUAUUUUAGUUAAGAUCUAAGAGAUCAACAAUGAGCAGGUGGUUGGUGAACUUCAUUUAGACACUAAAUUAGCGGAGGCUAAAGAUGGAGGCAGAAUCUUUAUGUAACAGAACUGGAAAUUUGAUGAUAAUAAUAAGGAAGUAUUUUAGGGUGAUAAUGGUAUAUUAAUUGUUUUAAUCAAAGACUUCAGGGGCUGGAGAAAUGGCUCAGAGGUUAAGACCACUGACUCUUCUUCCAAGCUACUCAAGUUAGAUUCCCAGCACCCACGUGGUGGCUCAAAACCGUCAGUAACUCCAGUUCCAAGAGAUCUGAUGUCCUUGUCUGCCUUCCUCGAGCACUGCAUGCAUAUUGUGCAGAGGCAUACAUUCAGACAAAAACCCACACAAAUAAAGUAAAUAUAUAAAAAUUAGGGAAAAAACUACUUAGUGCUAGCUGUUGGAAUACCUCUGGAGAAAAUGUAAUAUCUAGGAUUUCAUCAGAAUAUAUGAAUGUGGGAUUGGCCCUGGAAGAUCAAAGAAUAUGUAUUUUUCUUUUCUUUCAUUCCUUUUAUUUUAUUUAUUAUUUAUUGACAGAGUCUUGUAUGUAGCUCAAACUGGCCUUGAAAUCAUGGGCUACCUGCCUUAGCUACCUACAUGCUGAAGUUAGAGGAAUGUGCCACCAUACCUGCCUAAAAACAAUGUUCUUAACAUUUUUACAAAGAAAAUCGGAGUGUCUCACAUUGGGUGUCAUUUAUUAAAUAAGGAAUACAGUGGUUUCAGAAAACCCUUGAUUAAGCAUUCAUUAGUUGACGAGUAAAUUAUAUUGAUGAUUUUAACUUUUUAAACCACUUUCUCCAACCUUCUAGGAAAAAGUUGUAUCAUUCUACUUUACAGUUUAGAAAACUAAGCAUGGACUGGAGAGUCGGCUCAGUGGUCAACAGGACAUCCUGCAUUCGCAGAGAAGCCGAGUUCUGUUCCCAGCUGUUCACAUUUGCCUGACAAAUUUUUUUUGAUACCAGCUGGAAUACUCACAAUGAAGAUUCAUUGAAAAAAAAGAAGUCUCAAACUGCCACUGCUCAGGGGUGUGAAAGAUAAACAUCAACUCAUAGAGAAGUCAUCAGCAUAACAUAGUAACAUAUGGCACAUAGUAACAAAAAGACACUGGUAACAAGCUUUGCAACUGAGGAAAAUACUGCCCUUUGUAUGAAAGCAUGUCCCAAGUAACCACAGACACUUUAAACAAAUGUUAGGAAUUUAGAGUGGGCUGCAACCCAGACAUCCCAGGCAAGGGUGGCUUUCAGAGACAGACAGGGCACUACAGUCUGUCUGUCUCCGCCCAAAUUAGUGUUGCAAUUUAAUUCCCUGUAUAAGCUAGCACCAGGUGGAGCCUGCACAGGGUGAUUACAGCAGCUCUCAUGAAUGGACUGAUCUACUCAUUUGAUUAAUGGGCUGAUGCAUGAGUUGAUAAGUGGAUUAUCUCAAGAAUGGGUCUGCCACUUGGUCUAGGACUCACGGACUGUCUGUCUGUCUCUUACCAGGUGAUACUCUGCACCACUUUGUCACUUUGCCAGCAAGAAGUUCACCACCGGAUAGGCCCCCUCUUUACCUUGGGCCAGAAUUACAAGUAAAAAAUAAACCUGCUUGCUUUCUAACUCAUCCAAAAUGUGUUUUAUGUUUUAGCAACAUAAAACAGACCAGAAUAAGGGAUUGAUCUUCCACAGUGUGACUGGCUGCUGCUUCAAAUGUCUCCUUCUGCCUACAAGGAUCGAAUUAGUCUUAUCUAGAUGGUGCCUGAUCCAACUGCUUUCGUCCAUGUCCUUUACUCUGCCAGACACCAUGAAAUUCAAGAAACCACAUCCUCGAUCUGAUGAAAAGAGACACAGAGCUUACUAUCAGCCUGUACUGAUGGGACUGCAUUCUUAAUUACUGCACUAUCUCUCUGAUUAGCGUCAUAUAACACUAAACUGGAUGGGAGAUAGAAAAGAGCCCUGUCAUUUCCCACAAGGAAAAGGACUAGCAGGAAAAGAACUAAGAAUAACCUGGUUUAUUGGUCUUUAUCUUGCUGAUGAAGGGAACUUUAGUUCAUCUCAAUGCCAGAAGGAGAAAAAUAAGUUUAUUAUGUUUGUAAAUUGCAUAUUCUAUUUGCCUAGUAUGUAUUGAGAAAAUCAUCUCUGUGCCAAUCAUUUUGAGAAAGCCAUUGGAUUUCGAGUGUUUCCAUUUUUCUCUUAUAAAAUAAAAGACCUCCACAGAA
Non-coding RNA from Peromyscus maniculatus bairdii (prairie deer mouse), 3448 nucleotides. The record is from RefSeq and is a predicted model, not a curated record. Lineage: Eukaryota; Metazoa; Chordata; Mammalia; Rodentia; Cricetidae.